RNAcentral lists this ribosomal RNA (253 nucleotides) under uncultured bacterium. RNAcentral's name for it is "partial 16S ribosomal RNA". It matches the Rfam family "Bacterial small subunit ribosomal RNA", at positions 524 to 776 of the family's 1533-position model. The record is from RNAcentral.
GACGAACCGUGCGAACGUUGUUCGGAAUCACUGGGCUUAAAGGGCGCGUAGGCGGGCUGCCAAGUCAGGGGUGAAAUCUUUCGGCUCAACCGGAAAAGAGCCUUUGAUACUGGCGGUCUCGAGGGAGGUAGGGGCGUGCGGAACUUCCGGUGGAGCGGUGAAAUGCGUAGAUAUCGGAAGGAACACCAGUGGCGAAGGCGGCUCACUGGUCUGGUACUGACGCUGAGGUGCGAAAGCGUGGGGAGCAAACAGG